This 429-nucleotide ribosomal RNA is filed under the name uncultured bacterium. Its description in RNAcentral is "bacterial SSU rRNA". It matches the Rfam family "Bacterial small subunit ribosomal RNA", at positions 917 to 1349 of the family's 1533-position model. The record is from RNAcentral.
GGGCCCGCACAAGCGGUGGAGCAUGUGGUUUAAUUCGAUGAUACGCGAGGAACCUUACCAGGGCUUAAAUGUUAGGUGACAGAUCUAGAAAUAGAUUUUUCUUCGGACACUUAACAAGGUGCUGCAUGGUUGUCGUCAGCUCGUGCCGUGAGGUGUCAGGUUAAGUCCUAUAACGAGCGCAACCCCUGUUGUUAGUUGCCAGCGAGUAAUGUCGGGAACUCUAGCAAGACUGCCAGUGCAAACUGUGAGGAAGGUGGGGAUGACGUCAAAUCAUCACGGCCCUUACGUCCUGGGCUACACACGUGCUACAAUGGUAGGUACAGAGAGCAGCCAAUGCGCGAGCAUGAGCAAAUCUAUAAAACCUAUCUCAGUUCGGAUCGGAGUCUGCAACUCGCCUACGUGAAGGAGGAAUCGCUAGUAAUCGCAGGU